This 432-nucleotide ribosomal RNA is filed under the name uncultured bacterium. Its description in RNAcentral is "partial 16S ribosomal RNA". It matches the Rfam family "Bacterial small subunit ribosomal RNA", at positions 29 to 506 of the family's 1533-position model. The record is from RNAcentral.
AACGAACGCUGGCGGCAUGCCUAACACAUGCAAGUCGAACGAGACCUUCGGGUCUAGUGGCGCACGGGUGCGUAACGCGUGGGAACCUGCCCUUAGGUUCGGAAUAACUCCCCGAAAGGGGUGCUAAUACCGGAUAAUGUCUUCGGACCAAAGAUUUAUCGCCUUUGGAUGGGCCCGCGUUGGAUUAGCUAGUUGGUAGGGUAAAAGCCUACCAAGGCGACGAGCCAUAGCUGGUCUGAGAGGAUGAUCAGCCACACUGGGACUGAGACACGGCCCAGACUCCUACGGGAGGCAGCAGUGGGGAAUAUUGGACAAUGGGCGAGAGCCUGAUCCAGCAGUGCCGCGUGGGUGAUGAAGGCCUUAGGGUUGUAAGGCUCUUUUACCCGGGAUGAUAAUGACAGUACCGGAAGAAUAAGCUCCGGCUACCUCCUU